UGUAGUAAUCUAAUAUCUUAAUGAUUACGUCAUAUUGAUCACAUGAUCACAAAUAUUGUAAUUAGCAUAUAGCACAUGUAUGAUUAGGAACGAGUUGAAUCACACAGAUCUACAAUAAACACGUACCGUCUUCACUCAUGGCUUUCUGAUAGUAGAACCACGAUAAGGACACAACAUUUGGCGACGAGGAAUAGGAAUUAUCAGCAAAGCAGAAGAGUAGAAGAAUGACAAAUGACACGGCAGAUACAAGUUCGGGCGCAAGUAGCGCGGCGACCAACCCGAACAACAUCACCGUAGUAAACCGACAACUCAGUAUCAAACCCUUCCACAUCAACACCGACACCAAUGACACGGCAAUCCGUUGGGUAAGUGGAAGAAGGACAUCGAAAGACAGUUUCGCUUCUUUGGAAUAACAGAACCAGAAACAAAGAAAGACGGCCUGAUAAUCUACGGGAGGAUCCGCGAAGUAGCGCAGAAAUGCGAAUUCACAGAUGAGAACGAGGUGAUUCGAGAUCAUUUAAUCAAGACUAUGAAAAGCGCUCAACUACGACUCAAGACUAUAAGAAAGAACUUAACUCUGUCACAGAUACUAGACGAAGCAGCGAUAGAUGAAGAAUCAAGCGCGCAAGCGGCAGCCAUCGAAAGGAAGCUUAAGGAGGAUUCGGAAUCUCAAAGGGUAAAAUAAAUCACAAAGCGACACACGCGCGACCAACACCACAAAGAAUGCGACCGAUGCGGAGCAAAACACAGCACAGGCAAUUGCAGAGCCUAUGGAGCAGAAUGCCACAAAUGCGGGAAAAGAAAUCACUAAGCUCGAAUGUGUAGGAGCGGCGCAAAAACAAAAGACGAAACAACCUCAGAAUGGCAAGACCAACGCGGGUAACAUCAAUCAAGGAACUUCGGAAGCAGAACCAAAGAAAAGGACGCCGAAAAAUUCGACACGUGGAGCGAGAAAGCGACACCGAAUCAAGCGAAACAGAGAGCGACGAAGAUAUCAACCGGAUACUCAAACAUGUAAAUAUCCGCAAGACAAGCAGGGGUGGAUCCAGGGUAGUUUACGUGAGUUCCGGAACACACUCAAAGUUUUUCAGACCAAGUUAUUUUGAACUUAAAUGGCUUUUUAAAAAAUACUCCGAUAUCCCUAGAAACUAUUGGCUUGUCUGUGGAAAUCAUUCAAUCUCCUGUAUUUUUGGUUUUUAAUUAAAUUAAACACGUAAAAAGAUGCCUUAUCGUCUUUAUUAUUCUUAUGCGACUUCACGGAGCGCCCUGGAUCACGAGCUUUGGAUUUGAGCUUCGAUUACUUUUCGGGAACCUUCGGAAAUCCGUCGGAUAAGAUCGGAAAAUAUUGUCACCAAUUUGCAAGCGAGGGGGUGGGUGAGGUGUUAUUAUAGUUAGCCCUGGAGGAACACACUCAAAACCUCGCGCGAUUGGCUGGAAAUUUUUUCAUUGUGUUGGAACUCACUCAAAACCAUUUUUGAUUGGCUAACUCACUUGGAAACCACCGCGGAAACUAUCGACAAAAGUAUAAAACGGUCUGUACCUCCCCCAACGGUCUUCUUUCGUUUGCCUUCACUAGAGUCUCAGUACUUGCAUCGGAGUUUACGAAGGAAUUAGUUAACAAAUUGCACUAGUUUUUACUCUUUAUGGCUCGUGCUCCUGUCUGUCGGAAGGAGGAUUGUUCUCCCUACGACAUUGGCUUAGUCUUCGACAAGAUCGCCAGCUAUUCGCCUCAGGACAAGUUGAAAUUCAUCGAAAAUGUAUGGAAACCAGAUUUCUCGACUCAACCAAAAACUUCAGAGAAGAAUUUAUUGGAUUUUAUAUUUGUAAGGAGGGAACAACAGGAGAGGCCAUCAAAGACUUUAUAACUGCAGCUGUAGUACCCUUAGGGUUGAUGAUGGAAGACUGUCGUGGCCAAUGUUAUGAUGGCGCUGGCAAUAUGGCUGGACGACUUAAUGGAGCCUCCUCGUUAAUCAGAGCAGAACAUGAGAAGGCAAUUUUUGUCCAUUGCAUGAAUCACCAGCUGAAUUUGUGUAUUGCCAAUACCUGCCAAAUACCAAAUGUCAGAAACAUGAUGGAUGUUGUGCGAAAGCUUUUUUAAUUUUUUGACAACUCUCCCAAGCGACAAGAACAUUUAGAAUUCAAGAUCAUAGAACUUUUG
Molecule: long non-coding RNA, 2158 nt
Organism: Nematostella vectensis (starlet sea anemone)
Lineage: Eukaryota; Metazoa; Cnidaria; Anthozoa; Actiniaria; Edwardsiidae
Exons: 2
Source: RefSeq, a predicted model, not a curated record